CAGUCGAACGGGGAUAGCAAUAUCCUAGUGGCGAACGGGUGAGUAACGCGUGACCUACCUGCCUUGUACAACGGGAUACCCGAGGGAAACUUCGGUUAAUACGGUAUAAGACCACACUACCGCAUGGUAGAGGGGUAAAAGGAGAAAUCCGGUAUAAGAUGGGCUCGCGUCGCAUUAGCUAGUUGGUAAGGUAACGGCUUACCAAGGCGACGAUGCGUAGCCGACCUGAGAGGGUGAUCGGCCACAUUGGGACUGAGAUACGGCCCAGACUCCUACGGGAGGCAGCAGUGGGGAAUAUUGGGCAAUGGAGGAAACUCUGACCCAGCAAUGCCGCGUGAAUGAAGAAGGUCUUCGGAUUGUAAAGUUCUUUAGUUAGGGAAGAAUGUAAUGACGGUACCUAAAGAAUAAGCCCCGGCUAACUACGUGCCAGCAGCCGCGGUAAUACGUAGGGGGCAAGCGUUGUUCGGAAUGACUGGGCGUAAAGGGUGCGUAGGCGGUAGUACAAGUUAGAAGUGAAAUACCCAGGGCUUAACUCGGGUGCUGCUUCUAAAACUGUACGACUUGAGUGCAGUAGAGGUUAGUGGAAUUCCUAGUGUAGCGGUGGAAUGCGUAGAUAUUAGGAGGAACACCAGAGGCGAAGGCGGCUAACUGGACUGUAACUGACGCUGAGGCACGAAAGUGUGGGGAGCAAACAGGAUUAGAUACUCUGGUAGUCCACACUGUAAACGAUGG
This 732-nucleotide ribosomal RNA is filed under the name uncultured bacterium. Its description in RNAcentral is "bacterial SSU rRNA". It matches the Rfam family "Bacterial small subunit ribosomal RNA", at positions 59 to 812 of the family's 1533-position model. The record is from RNAcentral.